AUUGAACGCUGGCGGCAUGCUUUACACAUGCAAGUCGAACGGUAACGCGGGGGCAACCCUGGCGACGAGUGGCGAACGGGUGAGUAAUACAUCGGAACAUGUCCUGGAGUGGGGGAUAGCUCGGCGAAAGCCGGAUUAAUACCGCAUACGCUCUGAGGAGGAAAGCGGGGGACCUGGUAACGGGCCUCGCGCUGCAGGAGUGGCCGAUGUCGGAUUAGCUAGUGGUGAGGUAAAGGCUCACCAAGGCGACGAUCCGUAGCUGGUCUGAGAGGAUGAUCAGCCACACUGGGACUGAGACACGGCCCAGACUCCUACGGGAGGCAGCAGUGGGGAAUAUUGGACAAUGGGCGCAAGCCUGAUCCAGCCAUG
This 369-nucleotide ribosomal RNA is filed under the name uncultured bacterium. RNAcentral describes it as "bacterial SSU rRNA". It matches the Rfam family "Bacterial small subunit ribosomal RNA", at positions 29 to 396 of the family's 1533-position model. The record is from RNAcentral.